Long non-coding RNA from Mastomys coucha (southern multimammate mouse), 320 nucleotides. RefSeq lists it as uncharacterized. The record is from RefSeq and is a predicted model, not a curated record. NCBI's taxonomy places the organism in Eukaryota, Metazoa, Chordata, Mammalia, Rodentia, Muridae. The transcript has 3 exons.
GGUGACCUUGCCUAUGGUCACACUGGGAAAUGGAGUUGUUAUAAUUUAAACCUUGGUUCGUCAGUAUGUGAUACUCCGCUACAACCUGCUGCCAUCUAAACAAAGCCUGCCUGAACUUCUGUGGCACUUGAGAACAAAGAUAGGAGCCUGGGAAAGGAAGCCCUGCUGGGUCAAAAACAACAAACUGGAAGACUACCUGUAUGGGGAGCAUGAUUAUUAUUCUUUCAUUAUUGGAAGAAUUCCACCUGUAUCAUGCUGAAAACUUUGGGGAGGACCUGAAAGUUAAGUGUGGACAUCUUUCCAAAAAAGGAAAAGGAUGG